Small nuclear RNA from Mesoplodon densirostris (Blainville's beaked whale), 107 nucleotides. Lineage: Eukaryota; Metazoa; Chordata; Mammalia; Artiodactyla; Ziphiidae. The record is from RefSeq and is a predicted model, not a curated record.
GUGCCCCCUUCAGCAGCACAUAUACUAAAACUGGAACGAUACAGAGAAGAUGAGCAUGGCCCGUGCGUAAGAAUGACACGCAAAUUCGUGAAGCGCUCCACAUUCAG